RNAcentral lists this unclassified non-coding RNA (1886 nucleotides) under Hevea brasiliensis (rubber tree). The record is from RNAcentral. Lineage: Eukaryota; Viridiplantae; Streptophyta; Magnoliopsida; Malpighiales; Euphorbiaceae.
GUCUUCUUCCAUCUCCCUCUCCCUGGAGAGCCAAGAAACAUAGCCAGAAACUACCAUGAAUGCGACAAAAACAAACAGAAAACCUUCUCUUAAAUAAAACCACUCCAUAAUUCAUCCCAAAUAAUACUCUCUCCGUCUCCAUUUCCCUCUGAAUCUCUCAGAGGGAGAUAGGGAGAAAGAAGGAGAGUCUGGUUGUUGCAGAGAAGAUUAUCCUAUUCAAAGUGAUGAUCCCAUGUACUCUCUUCUUUUUCACCUUCGACAUAAAACAGGAGAGAACAGAGCAAAACAGAGGGAAAAUAGAAUAAAUUAGAGCAAGUCCCGUUUUAUUUCAAUGCAACUAUCAUUCAAAAUCCUUCAGAAUCUCUCAUGGACAUUCUUGAUUUUUCUUAUUUUCUUCUUUCUCUCUUCUUCUGCCACCCGUAAUUCUGAAAUCCAACUUAACUGCGGUUCCCAUAAGGACGAGCUCAAUUCCACUAUCUCCACGUCUUUCGUUCCAAAUUUUGUCAAAGUCAUGGAAUCUAUCCAACAACAAGUGUCUAGGAGAAACUGGGGGCAUGCUGCUGUUACCUGGCCAUCGCCUCAGGUCCAUGCCUUAGCCCAGUGCCACAGUGAUCUCUCUACCCUUGAUUGCAAACUCUGUUUUAGCCAGGGCAGAGUAAAGCUUCCCGGUUGCCUCCCCAGUACGGCUGCUCGUAUCUUUCUUGAUGGCUGCUUUCUUCGCUACGAUAAUUACAGCUUCCUCCAUGAAUCCAUCGACCCUAAUUAUGAUAAUGUGAACUGUAGCCAGGCAGCAGGUGUUUUGAUAGAUAGCUCUUUGCACAUGGAUUUUAGGAGAAAGGUUGCAGAUGUGAUCAAGAAUGUCACUGAAAGAGCCCUUGGCAACCGAAAGUUUGCCACUGUAGAGGGAAAAGGAGGAGUCGUUCCAGCUUAUGCAUUGGCUCAGUGUUGGAAUUCACUUAACUACAGGGAGUGCAGAGAUUGCUUGGUGAAGGCAGGCUCACAAUUGAGGACAUGUGCUCCUGGGGCACAGGGCCAGGCUCUGUUUACCGGUUGUUAUAUGCGGUAUUCUACAGAGAGAUUCUUUAACACCAGCUCAGAAGCAGCAGACCAAGGAAGUAAAAUUGGUUUUAAACAUUCUUCCACUCCGUUUCUCUUCAAAUUUUUGGUUUUAGUUGGAUUAAAUUGCCUGGUCUUAAAUGUUGUCAGUGGUUUAUCCUCUGAUUGGAAGUGUUAAAUCAUAUUUUCCGGCUUUCUGCUUAUUGGAAUAGAAAUGAGUGCUUGUUUGCUGUUAUUCCAUCUCUGCCAGGUGUUCUUAUAAUUUAACAUGUUUUGCUAAAUGUACAGGCUCACAUGCUGGUAUGAUAGGAGCAAUUGCCUUAGCAGCAGCAGCCUUUAUCGUGCUGGCUUCCUUUGGUGCUUUUAUUGGGUAUGGGAGAUUAUCUAAGAGGAAAGCAGAGCAAAACAAUCUUAGGGGCCUUACAAACUGGUCUAAUUUGAAUUUUAAGUAUGAAGUGCUUGAGAAGGCAACCAAUUUUUUUAGCGACGACAUGAAAUUAGGCCAAGGAGGGGCCGGUUCUGUAUUUAAAGGAAGUCUCCCAGAUGGAAGAACGGUUGCAGUUAAGAGAUUGGUCUAUAAUACACAGCAAUGGGUUGAUCAAUUCUUCAAUGAAGUGAACUUGAUCAGUGAUAUUCAACACAAAAAUCUUGUAAGACUUCUGGGUUGCAGUAUUGAAGGCCCUGAGAGCCUUCUUGUUUAUGAAUAUGUACCCAACAGGAGCCUUGAUCAAAUUCUUUUCAUGAAGAACACAAUACAUAUCCUAAGCUGGCAGCAGCGGUAUAAUAUCGUCCUUGGAACAGCAGAAGGGCUUGCAUAUCUUCAUGGAGGU